UUAAAAACCUAUAUAUAUCCUUGGACUUUAAUCAAGCAAGAAAAUGCACUCUCACAAUUAGCUACUCCAAACUCUGUUAAAAUGGCUCACAAGUUAGCUUUCUUUUUUUGUGUUCUCCUUGUGGCACUAACUGUUCAUUCAAACACUGGGGCGAUGGCUAUGCGAAACCUACCUUUAGAAGCAGAAGAGGUGAUUGAGCAAAUUCUAGUGCCAGAUCUUACUAAUAAAAAAGGAUGUUACAACCUCUGCAAAUCUGAUGCAAAUUGCAAUAACAGAGGUUCAGAGUGUAGGCAAUGUCGAACGGCGCAUAAUCAUUAUGAUAUUACAAUGAGAUGCUAUCCCAGGAUUUGAAUCUCAUAUGAUAAAAAUGAUUUUACACAAAUAGCCGGCCAAAUUCAUAAAUGUGUUUUUUGUGGUCUUUUUAUUUUUACUUGCUCCGUUUUAAGCUUUGUGUCAUUUGUAAGGUAAAAAAUACAAGUGACUAUCUAUUUUUUGUCCGAAUAAAUAUGUGUUUUCGUAUGAGUAUGUUGUAUUUUAUUUAUUUA
Nicotiana tabacum (common tobacco) is the source of this 545-nucleotide long non-coding RNA. RefSeq lists it as uncharacterized. The record is from RefSeq and is a predicted model, not a curated record. NCBI's taxonomy places the organism in Eukaryota, Viridiplantae, Streptophyta, Magnoliopsida, Solanales, Solanaceae.